Molecule: ribosomal RNA, 596 nt
Filed under: Pseudomonadota bacterium
Lineage: Bacteria; Pseudomonadati; Pseudomonadota
Also listed under: 1 other name
Description: partial 16S ribosomal RNA
Rfam family: Bacterial small subunit ribosomal RNA
Source: RNAcentral
UCUACGGAGAGUUUGAUCCUGGCUCAGGACGAACGCUGGCGGUGUGCCUCAAACAUGCAAGUCGAGGGAGGGUUGGCGUCUGGCUUGCCAGACGUUUCAACUCUACCGGCGAACGGGUGAGUAACACGUGGGCAAUCUGCCCUGAAGACGGGGACAACCUCGGGAAACCGGGGCUAAUACCCGAUAUCCUCCUUGGGGGGCAUCCUCCGGGGAGGAAAGGUCCGCAAGGUCUGCUUCAGGAGGAGCCCGCGGCCUAUCAGCUAGUUGGUGGGGUCACGGCCUACCAAGGCGAUGACGGGUAGCUGGUCUGAGAGGACGAUCAGCCACACUGGGACUGAGACACGGCCCAGACUCCUACGGGAGGCAGCAGUUGGGAAUUUUGGGCAAUGGGCGCAAGCCGGACCCAGCGACACCGCGUGGGGGACGAAGGCCUUCGGGUUGUAACCCCCUGUCAGGAGGGACGAAGCCGCAAGGUGACGGUACCUCCAGAGGAAGCCCCGGCUAACUACGUGCCAGCAGCCGCGGUAAGACGUAGGGGGCGAGCGUUGUCCGGAAUUACUGGGCGUAAAGCGCGUGCAGGCGGUCUGUUAAGUCCC